This 460-nucleotide ribosomal RNA is filed under the name uncultured bacterium. RNAcentral describes it as "partial 16S ribosomal RNA". It matches the Rfam family "Bacterial small subunit ribosomal RNA", at positions 338 to 795 of the family's 1533-position model. The record is from RNAcentral.
CCUACGGGAGGCUGCAGUGAGGAAUAUUGGUCAAUGGGCGGGAGCCUGAACCAGCCAAGUAGCGUGCAGGAUGACGGCCCUACGGGUUGUAAACUGCUUUUAUACGGGAAUAACGCGCCUUACGUGUAGGGCUUUGCAUGUACCUUAUGAAUAAGGACCGGCUAAUUCCGUGCCAGCAGCCGCGGUAAUACGGAAGGUCCGGGCGUUAUCCGGAUUUAUUGGGUUUAAAGGGAGCGUAGGCGGCAUGUAAAGUGAGCUGUGAAAUUUCCGGGCUCAACCCGGGCCUUGCAGCGGGAACGGGCGUGCUUGAGUGCGCGAAAAGUAGGCGGAAUUCGUGGUGUAGCGGUGAAAUGCUUAGAUAUGACGAAGAACCCCGAUUGCGAAGGCAGCUUGCUGGAGCGGAACUGACGCUGAUGCUCGAAAGCGUGGGUAUCGAACAGGAUUAGAUACCCGGGUAGUC